This 493-nucleotide ribosomal RNA is filed under the name uncultured bacterium. RNAcentral's name for it is "partial 16S ribosomal RNA". It matches the Rfam family "Bacterial small subunit ribosomal RNA", at positions 31 to 506 of the family's 1533-position model. The record is from RNAcentral.
GAACGCUGGCGGCGUGCCUAAUACAUGCAAGUCGAGCGAACGGACGAGAAGCUUGCUUCUCUGAUGCUAGCGGCGGACGGGUGAGUAACACGUGGAUAACCUACCUAUAAGACUGGGAUAACUUCGGGAAACCGGAGCUAAUACCGGAUGAUAUUUUGAACCGCAUGGUUCAAAAGUGAAAGACGGUCUUGCUGUCACUUAUAGAUGGAUCCGCGCUGCAUUAGCUAGUUGGUAAGGUAACGGCUUACCAAGGCAACGAUGCAUAGCCGACCUGAGAGGGUGAUCGGCCACACUGGAACUGAGACACGGUCCAGACUCCUACGGGAGGCAGCAGUAGGGAAUCUUCCGCAAUGGGCGAAAGCCUGACGGAGCAACGCCGCGUGAGUGAUGAAGGUCUUCGGAUCGUAAAACGCUGUUAUUAGGGAAGAACAUAUGUGUAAGUAACUGUGCACAUCUUGACGGUACCUAAUCAGAAAGCCACGGCUAACUACGU